Molecule: ribosomal RNA, 253 nt
Filed under: uncultured bacterium
Lineage: Bacteria
Description: partial 16S ribosomal RNA
Rfam family: Bacterial small subunit ribosomal RNA
Source: RNAcentral
UACGUAGGGUGCGAGCGUUAAUCGGAAUUACUGGGCGUAAAGCGUGCGCAGGCGGUUCGUUGUGUCGGUGGUGAAAUCCCCGGGCUUAACCUGGGAAUGGCCAUGGAAACUGGCGAACUGGAGUGCGGCAGAGGGGGGUGGAAUUCCGCGUGUAGCAGUGAAAUGCGUAGAUAUCAAGCGGAACACCGGUGGCGAAGGCGGCCUUCUGGACAGUGACUGACGCUGAGACGCGAAAGCGUGGGGAGCAAACAGG